GGUGGCUCAGUGGUAGAGUGCUUGCCUCACAUGCAUGAGACUCUGGGUUCGAUUCCCCAGCACCA
Molecule: transfer RNA, 65 nt
Filed under: Dipodomys ordii (Ord's kangaroo rat)
Lineage: Eukaryota; Metazoa; Chordata; Mammalia; Rodentia; Heteromyidae
Rfam family: tRNA
About the family: Transfer RNA (tRNA) molecules are approximately 80 nucleotides in length.
Source: Rfam by way of RNAcentral